UUUUGCCUCAAUACUUUAAUACAAUGAAAAUAUAUAUGAUACUAUAUUAUUAAUAUGAUAAACUUGCCUGACAAUAUUGUUAACAUGGUUACACGUAUAGUUUUGGAAUUUUCCCAGUCAGACGUCACUCAAUUGUCGGUGUUUGUUGGGGCGGUGUGAACAUGACAGUUUUUUUCUCAUCGAAUUCUAAAUCCAACGGCCAACUUGUUCGUUGGCGUUUGUUGGUGUUUGUUGGCGUUUGUCAGUGCGGUGUGAAUUGGCCUUUAAAGGGACUUUGCUACAAUCCAGAAGGGGCGUGCGCGAUCGCUGUAUAGGCACCUCAGUUCAAACGGCAGCGCAGAGCGCGAAUGAACGUGAUCAUCCCUUCCUCUUCACUACUACAGAAUGAGCAUGAAUGAACAUGAAGAGAGUCUUUCCAGGUUGCUGUUGAGGACAAACUGCUUCACGCUGUCUCCGCUCAGGGGGAAAAAUGGGCUACCGGAGCGUCCGAGUGCUCUUUCUGACGAAGAGAGAUGGGUGUGUGACAGAAAGGGUAAUAUAUUAGUUCACGUACAGAAGUAGUCUCACAUGACCCUCUCAUGAGGGAAUACCGGUGGAAUAUCGAAAUAGCUUUGAUUUUGAAAGGACUCAACAUUCUCGACAUAACAUGACUAUGAUUUUGUCUUACUCAUUGUAAUUCAGGCCGGCAUGUAGUCAAGGUUAUAUUCAAAGCUGAUGCAACAAAGGCCUUGAAAGGAGACGCUAAAACUAGGUCUUUCAGUCUUGAUUGUAUUCUGUUUCAACAGUUUGGAAAUGUUUUCAUCCUCAAUCUGCUAAAGUUUCUAAUUUACCAGUCACAGUAAUGUUAGCCAUUAUUCUGGCAGGUUUAGCAAUUGUUUAACACAAACCCCCUUUUGUUAACACCAACACCAGCAAAAUAAUAUUGUCAUAUGUUUAAUGCUGAUUUUAAUUUUAAUACUUUUUAAUGCUGCUUUAACUUCCACACAGUAGUGUUAACCCUCUGGGGUCUGAGGAUUUUUGGGGCCCUGGAGAAGUUUUGACAUGCCCUGACAUUUGUGCUUUUUUCAGUU
This is a long non-coding RNA of Megalobrama amblycephala (Wuchang bream), 1070 nucleotides long. RefSeq lists it as uncharacterized. Lineage: Eukaryota; Metazoa; Chordata; Actinopteri; Cypriniformes; Xenocyprididae. The record is from RefSeq and is a predicted model, not a curated record. The transcript has 3 exons.